Myotis daubentonii (Daubenton's bat) is the source of this 108-nucleotide small nuclear RNA. NCBI's taxonomy places the organism in Eukaryota, Metazoa, Chordata, Mammalia, Chiroptera, Vespertilionidae. The record is from RefSeq and is a predicted model, not a curated record.
AGUAGCACAUACACUAAGAAAAAAAAUAUGAAUGAUACAGAGAAGAUUAGCAUGGCGGCUGGGCAAGGGUGACGCGAAUUCAUCAAGCGUUCCAUAUUAAAAUUUUUU